Long non-coding RNA from Salarias fasciatus (jewelled blenny), 394 nucleotides. RefSeq lists it as uncharacterized. NCBI's taxonomy places the organism in Eukaryota, Metazoa, Chordata, Actinopteri, Blenniiformes, Blenniidae. The record is from RefSeq and is a predicted model, not a curated record. The transcript has 3 exons.
UAGAAGCAGCUGCUCACCUGGUAAAGCUGCUGGACUCACCUGCUCAGGGGGUGAUGAGUUCAGGUUGGUGGGAGGAGCCAGUCGCUGUGCAGGAAGACUGGAGCUGAAAUAUCUUGGUGAACAGAGACCUGUGAUGAGCGAUACCUUCACCAUGACGACAGCAGUUCUCGUCUGUGAACAUCUGAACUGUGGCUCUGUUGUUUCUGUACAACCAACUGAAGUGUCAGUUCAAUACAUGUGGAGAAUCGACUCUCGAUGUUUUCAAUCGGGAUCUGAUCGAAGGAACUGUGUGGAAUCAAGGAGGUUCCCUGACACCCUGAAACUCACCUGCUCAGACUCGGUGCGGCUGCUGGAUGGAUCCAGUCGUUGUUCAGGCAGACUGCAGGUGAAGACU